AGGGAACGCUGGCGGCAGGCCUAAUACAUGCAAGUCGAACGGCUCUUCGGAGCAGUGGCGGACGGGUGAGUAACACGUGGGAACGUGCCCUUUGGUACGGAACAACUGAGGGAAACUUCAGCUAAUACCGUAUGUGCCCCCAUUCUUAGCGGGAUGGGUGGGAAAGAUUUAUCGCCAUUGGAGCGGCCCGCGUUGGAUUAGCUAGUUGGUGGGGUAAAGGCCCACCAAGGCUACGAUCCAUAGCUGGUCUGAGAGGAUGAUCAGCCACACUGGGACUGAGACACGGCCCAGACUCCUACGGGAGGCAGCAGUAGGGAAUCUUGCGCAAUGGGCGAAAGCCUGACGCAGCCAUGCCGCGUGAAUGAUGAAGGUCUUAGGAUUGCAAAAUUCUUUCACCGGGGAAGAUAAUGACGGUACCCGGAGAAGAAGCCCCGGCUAACUUCGUGCCAGCAGCCGCAGUAA
Molecule: ribosomal RNA, 462 nt
Filed under: uncultured bacterium
Lineage: Bacteria
Description: partial 16S ribosomal RNA
Rfam family: Bacterial small subunit ribosomal RNA
Source: RNAcentral